GAGCGGCAGACGGGUGAGUAACGCGUGGGAAUCUACCUGGAACUACGGAAUAACACAGAGAAAUUUGUGCUAAUACCGUAUACGCCCUAUUGGGGAAAGAUUUAUCGGUUCCGGAUGAGCCCGCGUUGGAUUAGCUUGUUGGUAGGGUAAUGGCCUACCAAGGCGACGAUCCAUAGCUGGUCUGAGAGGAUGAUCAGCCACACUGGGACUGAGACACGGCCCAGACUCCUACGGGAGGCAGCAGUGGGGAAUAUUGGACAAUGGGCGCAAGCCUGAUCCAGCCAUGCCGCGUGAGUGAUGAAGGCCUUAGGGUUGUAAAGCUCUUUCACCGGUGAAGAUAAUGACGGUAACCGGAGAAGAAGCCCCGGCUAACUUCGUGCCAGCAGCCGCGGUAAUACGAAGGGGGCUAGCGUGUUCGGAUUCACUGGGCGUAAAGCGCACGUAGGCGGAUAUUUAAGUCAGAGGUGAAAUCCCGGGGCUCAACCCUGGAACUGCCUUUGAUACUGGAUGUCUUGAGUGCAGAAGAGGUAAGUGGAAUUCCGAGUGUAGAGGUGAAAUUCGUA
Molecule: ribosomal RNA, 563 nt
Filed under: uncultured Bartonella sp.
Lineage: Bacteria; Pseudomonadati; Pseudomonadota; Alphaproteobacteria; Hyphomicrobiales; Bartonellaceae
Description: bacterial SSU rRNA
Rfam family: Bacterial small subunit ribosomal RNA
Source: RNAcentral